UUCUUGGUGGCGCCAAUGUAGAACCUGAGCCCGAUGCCAUCUCUUAACUUGCCGCCGCUUGAGGGAUGCUGCGCUUCCGUCCAUCGCCUCGGGGUGCGAUUUCCGGCGAGACUGCCGUGUCUGGAUUUCAUUCGCCACCGUUGGCAGAUUCCGAGAAUCGGCGAAGUCGCCACAGCUCUGGUUCAGUGCGUCGUCAUUCCCGAUUUAGAGCUGGCAGUAGUCUCCCCCCUCCAACCUAAAGCUAAGUUUUAAACUUGCUUCUUCUUCUUUUCAUUGCAAUGAAGUAUCGAUACACAUAGAGGCUUAUUCGAGCAAGAGAAGUCAGAGCUUAAUUGUUCUAAAAGUGAGCAUGUUGUGGUUGUAUUUGUUCGUCUAUCAGUAAUAGUGGUGAGUUAAAGUGUUCCCCAUAUUCUGUGUCUGUGGAGUCUAUUGUUGUUCAUCGAAUACAUGAAUCAGAUGUAACAUAUCUCUAUAUCCCUAGAGUAAAGGCAGUGUAGUCUGCUGUUGCUACAUAAACUUAUGUGAAUAACUAAUCAUGCUCAUCUCCGAUUAGCAGCAUUCAUUAAAAAAAUCAUGCUAUGAUGAUGCGUGAAGCAUGUACAUGGAGAUAGUGAACUGGGAUAACGUAUAAUACCUUGAGGAUAUGGAUGUGGUGGCUGUUUGCUGCUGUGUUGAAUUAAAUGCAGGGGAUGGAAAUUGAAAUAGAGUAAUCUUGGUAACUACCUUAAUGAAUGAAGGUGAAAUUGUGGCAGGGAGUAUUAAAGUUCAAGGUGAAGCUUACCUCGAAAUAGCUUGGUGUUGGUUAUAUUAUCUGCUGCUGUAGUUGACUGAUCUUAAUUGGGGGUAACUGAAACAUAACAGUGGUUAUUCUUGCAUUAAUGCAGGUGAAAUCUUGGAGGAGUUGAAGAGAGUUAAAGAAGUUUACCUCAUUGGCAGAGAUGGAUGAAUGAUUUCCUCUCUUCUUCACGUGAGCUGUUAGAGUAUAAUGGAGAAGGAGUGUUAGGAGGUUGUUUGCUGAAAUGAUAGGUAAAAAGGGUUGAAGGCUGGCUGGAGCUUGAGUACCUACUAAAUGGUAGGGUGGCUGAUGUGAGUCCUAUGUGUACCUUGGGUAUGGCUGUUGUGGCAGAGGUGGAGUGCUUACUGCUGUUGCAGUUGCUGCAGAAAAUGGGGAGGGGACGCAACUGAUCUUAUUCUCCCCUCUCCCUUUAUUACUCCUUCCGUCCACCAAAAAAACUCCCAGUUGGAGUUCGGCAUGGAGACUAAAAUAGCUGAAAAAGGUGGUGUAAAAGACUAAAAGGAUAGUGUUUAUGUAUUGUGAUUACUUUUACUAAUCUUCCACUAACUAUUUGAUAAUAAUAAUAAUAAUAACAACAAUAAUAAUAAUAAUAACAAUAACAAUAACAAUAAUAAUAAUAAGGAUAAUAAUAAUAAUAAUAAUAACAAUAAUAAUAACAAUAACAAUAACAAUAAUAAGAAUAAGAAUAAUAAUAAUAACAAUAAUAAUAAUAAUAAUAACAACAAUAAUAAUAAUAAUAAUAAUAAUAAUAAUAAUAAUAAUAAUAACAACAACAAAAACAACAACAAUAAUAAUAAUCAUAAUAAUAAUAACAAUAACAAUAUUAUAAUAAUAAUAAUAAUAAUAAUAAUAAUAAUAACAACAAUAAUAAGAAUAAUAAGAAUAAGAAUAACAAUAAUAAGGAUAAUAAUAAGGAUAACGAUAAUAAUAAUAAUAAUAAUAACAAUAAUAAUAAUAAUAACAAUAACAAUAAUAAUAAUAAUAAUAAUAGUCGUAAAAAUAAUAAUAAUAAUAAUAAUAAUAAUAAUAAUAAUAAUAACAACAACAAUAACAAUAACAAUAAGGAUAAUAACAAUAAUUAAUUAAAUGAGAUUUUAUUAAAAAAGAGAAGAAAAAACAGACCUAAAACCCUUGAGAACACAGAGGAGUUAACUAAGGGCCGAGCCUCAUUAAAACCCUUUUAAGGCAAACCCAAACGGGAAAAUCCUUAAAAGGGAAAAAGAGUGCUCGUCUAGAAAAGACUGCGAGGGAGCGGAGAAGAGACAGCUUCAGAAGUUCCGGCCUAACCAUCACCCCUAAGCCGCUCGGCUCCCAAACGCAGCGAAAGCAAACAAACAAAAACGAAAAAAACAACAAAAAAACCCAGCAAAAGAGACAGAAAAAACCACACCGUUCCUCCAAACGAAAAAAACCAACGAAGCCCAAGAGAACUGGCCUAUCAAAACACGAAAACAGAGGGCCACCCAAACCCAGCAGAACAAUCCAGCCGUUCUUCAAGCAAAACGAACUCGGACGCAGAGUACGGCGACCCCGGCCGCGAACACCUGCUCUCAUGCCCAUUCUAGAACGCUCCUUGCAACAAGGAAGUCCAACGACAAACCUAGGAGAAAGAAAGUGAUAGAACACCAAGACUACCGUUCAUCAACGACCCAAACAACGGAGCCAUAAAAACUCGACGCCGACGCAACAACAACAACGCCGCGGAGCUUCCCAGACGAACCAAAACUCACAGCCCCAGUUCCGAGCUCACCCGGAAGCUGAAAAAAGGCCCUGAUCUUGGUCCCUAACCAACACCAACGACAAUCCAGCAAAAAACCCGCACAAAGAAACCAAUAAGUAAUAGGAACCCAAAGCGCCGACCAGAUGUUUGUGAAAAAUCCAAGCUUGUCAAAACAUAAAAGAUGCGGUCCCUCCAAGCAAAGACGCCAUCCCAGGAGGGAAUCAGCAUGAUUAUCAAAAGAAAAGGGUGAUAGAACACCAUGGCUCCCGUUCAUCAACGACCCGAACAACAGGACCAAAAACUCAACGCCGACGCAUCUGCUAGCAACGUCGCGGAGCUUCCAAAACGAACCAAAACUCAUAGCCCCAGCUCCGAGCUCACCCGGAAACUGAAAAAAGGCUAAGAGAUUAGUCCCUAAACCCCCGCCCCUGUCAAACCAUCUCAUACCCGCACAGAACUCCCAUCUUCUAUCAAACAACCAGAACGCAUACCAGGUGUUUGUGAAAGAGUCCAGGCAGCCAACGAGCAAGUAUAGCUUCUGCCACAUCCAAAGCCCAAUCAUCCGCGAAUGCGUAUAUGGCUGUGAGUGGCCAUGUCCGUCCUGACCGCUUUUUUGAUGGCCUCGACCUCGUGCGGCCACCACCCCUCCAUCAUGUUUUGAUUGGCCAUAAUGUCCGCAGGUUUGUUGCCUUCACGAUAGAUAUGCGUAACUUGAAGAUUAAAAUUUUGUAACAGACCAAGAGUAUACUUCCAAGAAGCAAAAAAACGCCAAGGCACGUUAGAAGAUCGAGAAUUCAAAACUUAUGUGAAUAACUAAUCAUGCUCAUCUCCGAUUAGCAGCAUUCAUUAAAAAAAUCAUGCUAUGAUGAUGCGUGAAGCAUGUACAUGGAGAUAGUGAACUGGGAUAACGUAUAAUACCUUGAGGAUAUGGAUGUGGUGGCUGUUUGCUGCUGUGUUGAAUUAAAUGCAGGGGAUGGAAAUUGAAAUAGAGUAAUCUUGGUAACUACCUUAAUGAAUGAAGGUGAAAUUGUGGCAGGGAGUAUUAAAGUUCAAGGUGAAGCUUACCUCGAAAUAGCUUGGUGUUGGUUAUAUUAUCUGCUGCUGUAGUUGACUGAUCUUAAUUGGGGGUAACUGAAACAUAACAGUGGUUAUUCUUGCAUUAAUGCAGGUGAAAUCUUGGAGGAGUUGAAGAGAGUUAAAGAAGUUUACCUCAUUGGCAGAGAUGGAUGAAUGAUUUCCUCUCUUCUUCACGUGAGCUGUUAGAGUAUAAUGGAGAAGGAGUGUUAGGAGGUUGUUUGCUGAAAUGAUAGGUAAAAAGGGUUGAAGGCUGGCUGGAGCUUGAGUACCUACUAAAUGGUAGGGUGGCUGAUGUCGAGUCCCUAUGUGUACCUUGGGGUAUGGCUGUUGUGGCAGAGGUGGAGUGCUUACUGCUGUUGCAGUUGCUGCAGAAAAUGGGGAGGGGACGCAACUGAUCUUAUUCUCCCCUCUCCCUUUAUUACUCCUUCCGUCCACCAAAAAAACUCCCAGUUGGAGUUCGGCAUGGAGACUAAAAAUAGCUGAAAAAGGUGGUGUAAAAGACUAAAAGGAUAGUGUUUAUGUAUUGUGAUUACUUUUACUAAUCUUCCACUAACUAUUUGAUAAUAAUAAUAAUAAUAACAACAACAAUAAUAAUAAUAACAACAAUAAUAAUAAUAAUAACAAUAACAAUAACAAUAAUAAUAAUAAGGAUAAUAAUAAUAAUAAUAAUAACAAUAAUAAUAACAAUAACAAUAACAAUAAUAAGAAUAAGAAUAAUAAUAAUAACA
RNAcentral lists this long non-coding RNA (4321 nucleotides) under Salvia miltiorrhiza (redroot sage). RNAcentral describes it as "long non-coding RNA (SMIL_LNC002169)". Lineage: Eukaryota; Viridiplantae; Streptophyta; Magnoliopsida; Lamiales; Lamiaceae. The record is from RNAcentral.